RNAcentral lists this ribosomal RNA (429 nucleotides) under Bacteroidota bacterium. RNAcentral describes it as "Bacteroidetes bacterium partial 16S ribosomal RNA". It matches the Rfam family "Bacterial small subunit ribosomal RNA", at positions 355 to 776 of the family's 1533-position model. The record is from RNAcentral. Lineage: Bacteria; Pseudomonadati; Bacteroidota.
UAGGGAAUCUUCGGCAAUGGGGGGAACCCUGACCGAGCAACGCCGCGUGAGUGUAGAAGGUUUUCGGAUCGUAAAGCUCUGUUGUUAAGGAAGAACGAGUGUGAGAAUGGAAAGUUCAUACUGUGACGGUACUUAACCAGAAAGGGACGGCUAACUACGUGCCAGCAGCCGCGGUAAUACGUAGGUCCCGAGCGUUGUCCGGAUUUAUUGGACGUAAAGCGAGCGCAGGCGGUUAGUUAAGUCUGAAGUUAAAGGCAGUGGCUCAACCAUUGUAGGCUUUGGAAACUGUUUAACUUGAGUGCAGAAGGGGAGAGUGGAAUUCCAUGUGUAGCGGUGAUAUGCGUAGAUAUAUGGAGGAACACCGGUGGCGAAAGCGGCUCUCUGGUCUGUAACUGACGCUGAGGCUCGAAAGCGUGGGGAGCGAACAGG